RNAcentral lists this ribosomal RNA (450 nucleotides) under uncultured Tsukamurella sp. RNAcentral's name for it is "bacterial SSU rRNA". It matches the Rfam family "Bacterial small subunit ribosomal RNA", at positions 97 to 561 of the family's 1533-position model. Lineage: Bacteria; Bacillati; Actinomycetota; Actinomycetes; Mycobacteriales; Tsukamurellaceae. The record is from RNAcentral.
GGCGAACGGGUGAGUAACACGUGGGUGACCUGCCCUGUACUUCGGGAUAAGCCUGGGAAACUGGGUCUAAUACCGGAUAUGACCUUCUCCUGCAUGGGGGUUGGUGGAAAGCUUUUGCGGUAUAGGAUGGGCCCGCGGCCUAUCAGCUUGUUGGUGGGGUAAUGGCCUACCAAGGCGACGACGGGUAGCCGGCCUGAGAGGGCGACCGGCCACACUGGGACUGAGACACGGCCCAGACUCCUACGGGAGGCAGCAGUGGGGAAUAUUGCACAAUGGGCGUUAACCUGAUGCAGCGACGCCGCGUGAGGGAUGACGGCCUUCGGGUUGUAAACCUCUUUCAGUAGGGACGAAGCGCAAGUGACGGUACCUACAGAAGAAGCACCGGCCAACUACGUGCCAGCAGCCGCGGUAAUACGUAGGGUGCGAGCGUUGUCCGGAUUUACUGGGCGU